This 236-nucleotide ribosomal RNA is filed under the name uncultured bacterium. RNAcentral's name for it is "partial 16S ribosomal RNA". It matches the Rfam family "Bacterial small subunit ribosomal RNA", at positions 118 to 353 of the family's 1533-position model. The record is from RNAcentral.
UGAGCAAUCUGCCCUUCUCUUCGGAAUAAGCGUUGGAAACGACGUCUAAUGCCGAAUACGACCUCCUUUCGCAUGAUCGGAGGUGGAAAGCUCCGGCGGAGAAGGAUGAGCUCGCGGCCUAUCAGCUAAUUGGUGUGGGUAAUGGCCCACCAAGGCGACGACGGGUAGUCGGCCUGAGAGGGUGACCGGCCACACUGGGACUGAGACACGGCCCAGACUCCGUACGGGAGGNAGCG